UUCAUUCAAGGACCUUGACUGGCGCUGCUGAAGCCUGGAGGCUCCGAGGUGAUCAGAGAGGAGAGGAGACAAGAUCGGAAAAGUAAAGAAAAGGGGAGAAAAGGAAUUUAAAAAAGGAGGAGAAGAGCGCGCUAGAUUGGAAACGUUUUUUCCAUUUCUGGGCAGCAAAACACUGCGAUUCUUACUCUUUUUAACCAAUGAAAACUGAUAUGUUCUUAGCUUAAACGUUCUGCUUUUACUCAAGCUUCACCAAAACUAACAUUAAUUUGGAUAUUCGCGGAUGCGUCGCAAGCCCCGGACUUCUCCAGGCGUUUAGCCGUGGUGCGUCUUUACGCCGGUGGAGGCUGUGAGCGAGUGUGUGUGCGUGCGUGUGUGAGCGAGUGUGUGUGCGUGCGUGUGUGAGCGAGAGAGAGGUAGUGGUAGUGGUGGAGGAGGAUCAGCCGGAGUGGCCGACCAGACAGAAGGAUGCUGGAGGGCAAUGACUGCAGAAAGAGAGGAUGAGAUUUGUCGAAAGGCGCUGGAACUGCUCACCGACCUGUGCUCCAAGGGAGAGGUACAGGACGAUCACUGCCUGGACUUCAUUUACUACUUCAGGGACCUGGCAAGACCACGAUACACGAACUCAGAUGUAUCGGUGAGCCUGUUGUCCCUGCUGGUGACCACCUGUGGUCUGGCUCUCUUCAGCGUCUCCCUCUUUGUUUCAUGGAAGAUAUGCUGGGUACCACUGAGCGGCCGCUUCCUCCCAGAUAUCCUCAAGGGGGCACACUUUCUGGGGGGAGACCAACAGCCCGUCCUCACAGAGGUGGACGGGGACGAAAGGGAGUACAGCGAAGAUGGCUGUAUGAAGGAGUCUUCGGGGCCCCCCUCUACUGUGGUUGUCCCGGAGUCAGGCCUGAAAAUAAGCCACACGUCGCCUGACAUACCAUUGGAGACGCAGGCCAAGCUGGAGAAAAACCAGGUCCACACUCUGGCCAGGGACCGGGUUCAGAGACAGAUUACUGAGCCUACUUCAUCUGGACGGCACAACUCCAUCCGUCGUCAGAUGAAUUUGUCCAAUCCGGACUUUAAUCCUGCUCAGUUCCAGCGCCAAGAAUCACUGUCUGGUUUAGGCCGAAUCAAACCAGAACUCUACAAACAGCGAUCGGUUGACGCAGAAGAUGGUCGUCGAACUGACAGCUGUGGGCGUCUUCUGUUUGUCCUAAAGUUUGACUUUGACCUGGAGCAGCUGAUUGUGAAGAUCCACAAGGCCCAUGAUCUUCCAGCAAAAGACUUUUCAGGGACAUCUGACCCUUACGUCAAGAUCUACCUGCUGCCUGACCGCAAAACCAAGCACCAGACUAAGGUGCACCGCAAGACACUCAACCCAGUGUUCGAUGAGGUGUUUCUCUUUCCGGUGGCGUACGCCGAGCUGUCCAGUCGUAAGCUGCACUUCAGCGUCUACGACUUUGACAGGUUCUCUCGCCAUGACUUGAUCGGCCAAGUGGUGGUGGACAACUUCCUGGAUCUUGCCGACUUUCCACGGGAGACAAAACUUUGCCGGGAUAUACAAUACGUAACCUCGGACAACGUGGACCUAGGAGAACUGAUGUUCUCAUUGUGCUAUCUCCCCACGGCGGGCAGGCUCACUAUCACCAUGAUCAAAGCCAGAAAUCUCAAAGCCAUGGACAUCACUGGAGCUUCAGAUCCAUAUGUGAAAGUGUCCUUAAUGUGUGAAGGUCGGAGGCUAAAGAAGAGGAAGACGUCAACCAAGCGUAACACUCUGAACCCGGUGUACAAUGAAGCCAUUGUGUUUGAUGUUCCUCCUGAGAACAUAGACCAGAUCAGCCUGCUCAUAGCUGUCAUGGACUAUGAUCGGUUAGGUUGGACACAAUGAAGUGAUCGGAGUAUGCAGGGUGGGCAAUGAAGCAGAGAGCCUGGGGCGAGACCACUGGAGUGAGAUGCUGUCGUACCCACGGAAACCCAUUGCACACUGGCAUCCACUAAUAGAGUGGGUCGGAACAGUUGUGACGGGGAGUGGAAGCCAAAGAGGUUCCACCAAUUCCCUGAAGACACCACCAUCACCAUGACCACACACACACACGCACGCACGCACGCAAUCACA
This is an RNA transcript of Eleginops maclovinus (Patagonian blennie), 2101 nucleotides long. It is a transcript of the gene named synaptotagmin IXb, with no coding region annotated. The transcript is spliced from 8 exons. Lineage: Eukaryota; Metazoa; Chordata; Actinopteri; Perciformes; Eleginopidae. The record is from RefSeq and is a predicted model, not a curated record.